Molecule: transfer RNA, 72 nt
Filed under: Myctophum aurolaternatum (golden lanternfish)
Lineage: Eukaryota; Metazoa; Chordata; Actinopteri; Myctophiformes; Myctophidae
Description: partial tRNA-Pro
Rfam family: tRNA
About the family: Transfer RNA (tRNA) molecules are approximately 80 nucleotides in length. Their secondary structure includes four short double-helical elements and three loops (D, anti-codon, and T loops).
Source: RNAcentral
AGAACGUAGUUUAAUUUAAUAGAGCACCGGCUUUGGGUGCCGGAGGUGGGAGUGUAAGUCUUACCGUUCUGA